This 222-nucleotide long non-coding RNA is filed under the name Pongo abelii (Sumatran orangutan). RNAcentral's name for it is "lincRNA". The record is from RNAcentral. Lineage: Eukaryota; Metazoa; Chordata; Mammalia; Primates; Hominidae.
UCUCAAUAUGCAACCUUGAAGCAAACUGCAGAAACCAUUGCCUUAGUCUUCAAGUAGAACCUUGAAAUAUACUUUGGAAUAUUUCAUUCAGUUUCCCACUGUACACAUCCAUGCCUUAUACACAUUUAUGUAACUGUAUGCUGGCUAAACUCACACCAUGCAUACUUAUCUAACUAUAUGCCUGUCAAAAAAAAAAAACCAGAAGCUAAUUUAAAAUGAAUC